RNAcentral lists this transfer RNA (77 nucleotides) under Achromobacter xylosoxidans. RNAcentral describes it as "tRNA-Pro". It matches the Rfam family "tRNA". From Rfam's summary of the family: Transfer RNA (tRNA) molecules are approximately 80 nucleotides in length. Their secondary structure includes four short double-helical elements and three loops (D, anti-codon, and T loops). Further hydrogen bonds mediate the characteristic L-shaped molecular structure. tRNAs have two regions of fundamental functional importance: the anti-codon, which is responsible for specific mRNA codon recognition, and the 3' end, to which the tRNAs corresponding amino acid is attached (by aminoacyl-tRNA synthetases). tRNAs cope with the degeneracy of the genetic code in two manners: having more than one tRNA (with a specific anti-codon) for a particular amino acid; and 'wobble' base-pairing, i.e. permitting non-standard base-pairing at the 3rd anti-codon position. The record is from RNAcentral. Lineage: Bacteria; Pseudomonadati; Pseudomonadota; Betaproteobacteria; Burkholderiales; Alcaligenaceae.
CGGGAAGUAGCUCAGUUUGGUAGAGCACUUGGUUUGGGACCAAGGGGUCGCAGGUUCGAAUCCUGUCUUCCCGACCA